Molecule: long non-coding RNA, 1047 nt
Organism: Alligator mississippiensis (American alligator)
Lineage: Eukaryota; Metazoa; Chordata; Crocodylia; Alligatoridae
Exons: 6
Source: RefSeq, a predicted model, not a curated record
UACACACAGGACAAGCCAUCCACUUCUAAGAUCCUGUCUUCAAGAGGUGGCAGGCCUUGUUUUGCCUUUGCUAGAAGUCUGGAGCACAAAAGGAAAAACUUAGUGUCACAACCCAAGGGUGUGAUUUUUGUUUGUGUGUGCUUCGGCACUGCUGAAUUAUUUCCCGCCAUUUGUAGCUUUCUUUGCAGGGUGCAUUUCUUCGUUGCAGCACAGAAAUGCACGUUGCAAGGAGUUCCCGCCAUUUGUAUUCAGAUUUGUGCCCCACUAUUGGCCAGUUCUAAAUUAUUCCUACGUGGCGGCUAGCGAUUGGUUUGCUAGCCGUAUAAGAGGCUUGAGUGGUUUCCACCCAAGUUGGAGGACUCCACGAACAUCAGGAAGAGGAGACUUCACGUCUUGUGAAGAUCUCUAAGUGCUGCGGAGCCUAUUGGACCCAGCGUGUAUAUCAAGAAGGCUACAGGGGUCUGAUCAGCCUCUCGCCUCUCCCUGUCGCCGAACGAUCCCUCGACAUACCCUUCCCUGUGCGCAAGUUCCACGGAGCCUAGCAAACUUCGUGUGAGUGAAUCCAGAGCUCUGUCCAAGUCCUUAAACUGGGACUUAAGCAAAGUUUUCCUGGAAGUCUUUCCAGCCUGCACCGCGACCAUCUACAGUAUCAGUCGUCAUGUCCACUCUUGUGGUAAAGUGGAUGACAUCUGGAUAAACUAAAUCACAGGUUACGAAACGCCUGGACACAGGAGGAGGGGUGGAUGUCGUGUACUUAGACUUCAGGAAGGCCUUUGAUACGGUUGUCUGAUCUCAUAUGGCGUGCUUUAAACUAGCUUCACCGGGGGAUGGGGCCACAGGAGGACACGAGGACACCUCCCAGCCAAGACAGGUGAAGAGCGCAAAAGGUACCCAGGGACCGGGACUUCUCCCCCACUGGGAUUCAGGACAGACUCAGGAGUGACUCCGCCAGGCCUAGGGAGUCAGGCUCUGGAUAGUGUUCAAGCUUCUGGAGUUCAGUUUGAAGUAAACCACAUCAUCCAGAUCCCAGCACAAGAAGUUUUUCAG